CCUACGGGAGGCAGCAGUGAGGAAUAUUGGUCAAUGGACGAGAGUCUGAACCAGCCAAGUAGCGUGAAGGAUGACUGCCCUAUGGGGUGUAAACUGCUGUUAUAAAGGAAUAAAACGAGGCACGUGUGCCUUUUUGCAUGUACUUUAUGAAUAAGGAUCGGCUAACUCCGUGCCAGCAGCCGCGGUAAUACGGAGGAUCCGAGCGUUAUCCGGCUUUAUUGGGUUUAAAGGGUGCGUAGAUGGGUUGUUAGGUCAGUUGUGAAAGUUUGCGGCUCAACCGUAAAAUUGCAAUUGAUACUGGCAGUCUUGAGUACAGUUGAGGUAGGCGGAAUUCGUGGUGUAGCGGUGAAAUGCUUAGAUAUCACGAAGAACCCCGAUUGCGAAGGCAGCUUACUAAACUGUGACUGACAUUGAUGCUCGAAAGUGUGGGGAGCAAACAGGAUUAGAUACCCGAGUAGUC
RNAcentral lists this ribosomal RNA (460 nucleotides) under uncultured bacterium. Its description in RNAcentral is "partial 16S ribosomal RNA". It matches the Rfam family "Bacterial small subunit ribosomal RNA", at positions 338 to 795 of the family's 1533-position model. The record is from RNAcentral.